UGUCUUUUCAUUUCAGAAAAGUUUCCUUUUUCGCUGUCUGUUCAUCACCCAAAUCACAAGAAGCCAAAAAAAGCCUGAAGAAAAAAUUUGUAACAAAAAAAAAAAAGCAAUAAAACUUAGCUCAAUCAUAACCAAAAAUCAAACAAUUUUCUUUAAAAAAAUAUUACAUAAAAAUAUUAAGGUCCAUUUUGGUAUAUUCCACCCAAAAAUCCAAUUCUAUUAACAAACUCAAAAUCAUCUAACAUUCUUCAAAAACCAACAAAAAAAAACCCAAGCCCAUUUCAGCUCUGACUUCAAAGAUUUUUAUUUUUUUUGCAGCUGAAAAUUUUAGCAAAAUUCAAGUCUUGGGUCAUUUUGUUUUCAAUCGGAUCUGAUUAUGUUGAAGUUCAAAUCUUGAUUUGACACCUGGAAGCAGGCCUUGGAAUUUGCAAUAAAUCAUUAGCUUUUUUGUUGAGUUAUAAUGGAUUUGGAUGAUUUCAGAGCAGUUCUUGAAACAGCUGAUGUUGAUGUGUGGACUUUUAUAGAUACGGCAAUCCUGGUAGCCUCUUUGGAUUAUGGUCAAGAGUUGAAGCGAAGGAGAGAUGGGAUUGUGGAGAGGCUUUAUGCUACUUCUAUGGUUACUAGAUGUAAAAGCUGUGAUUUUGUUGAGAGAUCAAAUGGAUAUCAAGUUAAUAAAGAAGACGGCCUCCAUGAAGGUAAAGGAGGAGAAGUAGGCAAAGGGUCACCUUUUACACCUCAAUUGGAUAAUGAAGAUGAUGAUUUGGACUCUUAUGGAGGCUUGCUUGAUGAUGAGCAAAAAAGGGUUCUUGAGAUUAAGGAGCUUCUUGAAGUACCUGAUCAGUCUGAAGAUUCUUUGGUUGAUUUGCUUCAAAGCUUGGCAGAUAUGGAUAUAACAUUUCAAGCUCUCAAGGAGACUGAUAUUGGGAGACAUGUGAACAAAUUUAGGAAGCAUUCAUCAAAUGAUGUUAGGAGAUUAGUGAAGCAACUUGUCAGGAAAUGGAAAGAGAUUGUAGAUGAAUGGGUAAGGGUGAAUCAACCUGGAGAGCUUGAAUCUGCUGCACUUAUGGUAGAUGGAGAUUCACCACAGCAAAAACUUCCUCAAAAUGGUCGUCAACAGAUGGGAGUUUUGGUUCAGACAAGAAUAAUUCAGAACCUGAAAGGAAGCCAAAGCCAAUCCCUCCACCUCGAAAAGAUCCUCCUCCUAGGCCUACUCACUCUACACCACAAAUUGUACAGCAGGUGGUGGCAAUUAAAUGGUCAUCUAUCUCUUAUGGUUGAAGCUGAGCAAGAGAGUAAUAAGGUUCUUUUUAAGUGGUUCGUAUCUUUAUUGAAUUGCACUUCAGCUUUUAUGCAAUGACCCCAACUGAUGGGAGAAAGUAGCCUUCAGCUUGUUAUGCCAGAUUCUGCUGCUAAUGGGUCAACCCGCUAUUGAGUAAAGUUUUAUACUUUCUUUAAAAUCCCCCCCUUGAUUGCCUAUAAUCACCACUUGUAAACCUCCUGCUUAAGUUGGUCCAUGGCUGGACCUUUUCUUACAUCCUAACAUGGUAUAAAUCUAUUUUAAUUGUUGACCAGUUUAUAAGUGUGUGCCAUUCUUUUUAUUAGUAAGCUGAGUCUCCCACAAAAUUGUGCAGGUCUGCUUUAUUGACCUUAACCUAUCCAUAUGGCAUGCCAUUACACUUUACUUUUGAAUCUUAGAAUUCAAUGAGGGUAAGCUUUUCAGGAUAAGUUUGAAAAUUAAACUUUCAACAACGAAGAUGCAAAGAGUAGUUUCACAUCAUUUUUUUAGAGUUAUAAUGUUGAUGCUACAUUCUUAAGGUCAAUGACUAAAAACUUGUAAUCUUGGUCACCGGAACUACUUGAGUUGAACUGUAUCUAGAUGGUGUUAAUUUGAACUGUAUCUAGACGGUGUUAAUCCUUAUGCAUUUUAUCUAAGAUUCCUGAUAUUAUGAACUUUUGGAUUUUACUUUAGCUCUUGCUUGUCCCGUCCUGCUAAGUCAUGCUCGGUUUAAAUGGCAAAUGUACUCCCUGGAUCCCUCCAAUCAUUGAGUCUUACUGAAUGAGUUGUGAUCCAUCUGAGUUACUGGAUUAAGAGAUUUCUGAGAUUGCAGGCAUUGUAAAUAGGGCAUAAGUUUCUUCCUUGCUGUUCUUCUACAUUUGCUUGUGUUCCAUCAAACCUUGUUCGUCACUUAUGACGAACUGAUAAGUAAGCUCAAAUGCUUUGAAAGGCCUGAUGGAACUUGAAAGGUUCAAAUUUCUGUUCCUUAUAUUCUUCAACAUGCCAUGAAUGUUGAUUUUGUAUUUGUUCAUACCACAUUUGCCUGUAAACUCACUAGAUGAAUGAUAAAACAUUGCUUUUUUGACAUUAUGGAGUACUAGUGCUGAAUCCUUGAUAUGAUGCAGGAAUGCAUGACAUAGCCUUGCUUCAAAUAAAUUUUUUAAUUUUACAUUUAUUUACCACAAGAGAAAAAGAUAACAUGUUUUUAGCUUUCAUGGCCUUGAAAUUGCUAAAUCCUUUCUUGUUUUACAGUGGAUGGCUUACGAUGGCAUGAAGCCUGGAUACUAUAAUUAAAGCCAGAAACAGCUUCUUUGAUUGAAACAGAUUCCAUAAAAUUGCUUGUUUCUUGAAGCUCAUAAAAACCAAUGACAAUCUUCUUUCUAUUCUGGCCUUGAUUUUAGUUGGCUGUAAAAGCAACACAUUUAACAGAUGAAUAAAUACUAAUGUACAGUUUUUGAUUAAUUACAAGUAGCUCGUCAUGUGGCUAUUAUUCUUUUCCUGCAAAAUCAAUUUAUUAGGAUAUGCAAUGUUAUCUCUUAUAUUUCUUAUCCAACGGGGGAUUGAUGUAUCCUGCUUAUUCAUUUUGAGCACUUAGUGUAACAUUCUUUUUCAACCAGUCUCGUGACGUUUUCAUUAUGAUUAUCAUCUUGCUUGCUUUCUUUUGGAAUGUUUGGCAUGGUCAAACUUUUUCAUCAUGCUUUAUUUUGACAUCUUGUUAAGUGGUUAGAUUAAUUACUCUAUCUA
This is a non-coding RNA of Durio zibethinus, 3019 nucleotides long. The record is from RefSeq and is a predicted model, not a curated record. NCBI's taxonomy places the organism in Eukaryota, Viridiplantae, Streptophyta, Magnoliopsida, Malvales, Malvaceae.